RNAcentral lists this long non-coding RNA (1236 nucleotides) under Homo sapiens (human). RNAcentral's name for it is "PREDICTED lncRNA (TCONS_00218547)". Lineage: Eukaryota; Metazoa; Chordata; Mammalia; Primates; Hominidae. The record is from RNAcentral.
CUCCUGCCUCAGCCUCCUGAGUAGCUGGGAUUACAGGUGUGUGCCAUAAUUUUUGUAUUUUUAGUACAGACAGGGCUUCACCACAUUGGUCAGGCUGGUAUCAAACUCCUGACCUCGUGAUCCGCCUGCCUCUGCCUCUCAAAGUGCUGGGAUUAUAGGCGUGAGCCACUGUGCCUGGCCAAUUCAAGAAACUUCUUUUCCACAUCAAACAUUUGAACCUUAAAUACUUUCCCGGACCAGCCCUUAUACUUUCUAACCUGCUCCUUGACUUUCUUUUAUCCCUUUUUCUCAUGGAAUUUUACAAUCCGCCCCCUCCCCAAGUUCAGCCUCUGGAGGAAUUUAGAGCUUCCCUCAGAGCUCCUUGUGAUUCUAGAGUGUGAUGGAGACUGUGAAGUGCUGCUACGGUCUCCUCCUUCAGAAUGAGACACUUAUUCACCCUCCUCACCUCAUUAUUCCACGCUCUACUACUAGAAGUUCUACUGGCAGUCAGCCCUCUCUGUGAUUGUUCUCCGCAGAAGACAGCCACCUCGCCAAGAUCGUGUCUCCCCUUUCUGAGGAAGCCCAGAGCUGAUGACUGGCCAUAUGGAUAUAAAACGCACAACCCCCUCAGGGGAACUCCGACUCGGGCAUCUCUGAAGGACUAUGGGGUCCAGUGCAGCACAGAGUGGGACAUUACUUUCUGCUGGGAAGACCCACUUCCCAAUCAAGGGAGCAUUUGGUCUGAGUCCUGAAGGGUGGUUGGUUAAGUGGCAAAUACGCAGAGCUGGAGAAUGAAGGAUUUUUUUUUUUAAUACUUUAAGUUCUAGGAUACACGCGCACAAUGUGCAGGCUCAGCUUUCUCAUCACUGAACUGGAGAUACAGGAGUUGGAGACUUGGAAUCCCCUUUGGUGCAGAAACUAUUCCUUCAUGAGAAGAAGUCCUUAAAUAGGCUCUUUAGACAGGAGGCCACAUGUUGAAGGCAGCAGGGUCACAAGAUGGAAGAACCAGGGUCCCAGUAUCAUCGCUCCCUGCUUCAAGCUGCCAGGGGCAGCCUAACCCACAUGGCAUUAUGACAUAAGAAACAAAGUAACUAUUGUUUUAUUAAAUCAAUGAGAUAUUGGGCUUCUUGUUAUAGCAACUAGUAUAAAUUGCCCUGACUGAUACAUUAUGGAUUUAGAGUGCACUGUACUACAACUGUUUGUUGUAUUUUCAAAAUUGUGGUAUAACUGACUUACAAUAAACUUCAUAUAUUUAAA